This 347-nucleotide ribosomal RNA is filed under the name uncultured bacterium. RNAcentral describes it as "partial 16S ribosomal RNA". It matches the Rfam family "Bacterial small subunit ribosomal RNA", at positions 338 to 683 of the family's 1533-position model. The record is from RNAcentral.
CCUACGGGUGGCAGCAGUGAGGAAUAUUGGUCAAUGGGCGGGAGCCUGAACCAGCCAAGCCGCGUGAGGGAAGAAGGUACAGCGUAUCGUAAACCUCUUUUGUCAGGGAACAAAGGCGGGGACUAGUCCCCGGAUGAGGGUACCUGAAGAAAAAGCAUCGGCUAACUCCGUGCCAGCAGCCGCGGUAAAACGGAGGAUGCGAGCGUUAUCCGGAUUUAUUGGGUUAAAAGGGUGGGCAGGCGGCCGGUUAAGUCAGCGGUAAAAGCCCGGGGCUCAACCCCGGCGGGCCGUUGAAACUGGCGGGCUGGAGUUGGAGAGAAGGACGCGGAAUGCGCGGUGUAGCGGUG